This 652-nucleotide long non-coding RNA is filed under the name Callithrix jacchus (white-tufted-ear marmoset). RNAcentral's name for it is "lncRNA (ENSCJAG00000070415.1)". The record is from RNAcentral. Lineage: Eukaryota; Metazoa; Chordata; Mammalia; Primates; Cebidae.
UGAUCACGCCACUGCAUGCCAGCCUGAGUGACCGAGCAACAGAGUGAGACACCAUCUCUUACAGAAAGGAAAAAAAAAAAAAAAAAAGCGGGGGGAGGGAGAGAGAGAUACACAUUAGUCUAAAGUGGAUUUUGUUGGGUCUUCUUAUCUAAGCUGGAAAUACAUUAUGCAUAAUUCACUUUCCUGCAGCGUUCUGGAUUAGAGUCAGCCACCAGAGGCGUGCAUGCAUUACGAUUUGGAAGGCAGAAGUACACCGGCACUUAUUUUCCUGUCACACUCGAAUGCUGGUGCGAGGCACCAGGCAUACUGCGGCUGUUCAAGCAUAUUGACGCCGAUAUUCUGACUCCUUGUGGAAAUGGAGCCGCAUCCUGCCUUGCAGAGCAUCAGCCAGAUCUUGUUUUUUUACUUUCUCGGAAUCAUGCAGGCAGGGCUAGGCGUAUGUUUAGCUCUAUGGCAAGAGCCUCCAGCUUCUCCUGCAUAUCUCAAACCUCAUCAAAAGCUGGCAGCUUGGAGGUAGUGAGACACAGAGGAGAGAUCCAGUUCAUCAAGAGACUAUUAAAAUCUACUUCAACCUCAUCGAUUACUCGUGUAAGUAUGCCAUAACUUUUUAUUUUAUAAUACAAAUGAUUCAUAUGCCAUAUUUUAAAUAAAA